Molecule: long non-coding RNA, 888 nt
Organism: Ahaetulla prasina
Lineage: Eukaryota; Metazoa; Chordata; Lepidosauria; Squamata; Colubridae
Exons: 3
Source: RefSeq, a predicted model, not a curated record
GAGGCUGGUGAUGUAAUCUGACACGGGACCCAUGUGCUAAAGACACCUAAUCUGGCAUCUACGUAUUCCACAGCUGAACACUUCCCAAAGGGAGAAGAGAGGCACCAAACCGAACACAUGCAGGAGGAGGAGGAGGAGGAGGGGGAGAGAACCUGGAGUCAAUGGGUUGGAAGGGACCUUGGAGAUCUUCUAGUCAAACCCCCUGCUCAAGGCAGGAGACUUUAUACCAGGGGUCAGUAACCUGUGGCUCCAGAGCCACAUGCGGCUCUCUGGGCCCUCUGCUGUGGCUCCCUGUCAGGUGAUCCCACCACUGGCUGGCUCCGCCCCUCGACCUCCCCUCCCAGUCACUCCUCGCCUGGCCUGAGCAGACUCGAAGUUGGAGACGGGAGGGGCCCGGCUGAGGAGAGGAGGGAGGACAAGACACAACAAGACGUCUUCGGACAGCGCUGGCUCUUCGGCUUUGAAACGGAGAUGAGCACCGCCCCCUAGAGUCGAGAACGACUAGCAUUGAUACUUUAUUUAGUAUCUUAUGACUAUCACCGAGUGCUGUCUCUGAAGAUUUACGAUGAUUGUAAAAAGACGCUACAGGGCACUGCACAUCAGAACAACUAGACACAAGGACAGUUUUUCCCCUUGCAUGCCAUCACUCUGCUAAACAGCUAAUUCCCACAACACUGUCAAACUAUUUGCUAAGACUGUAUUACUAUUCUUCUUCUCAUCUUUCCUAUUACCUAUCUCCUUCCACUUAUGACAAUAACCAUGGUGCUUGUAUUUUUAUGAUUUAUAUUGCUUUAUUUAGGUUUUCUAAUAUGAUUUGAUUGCUUAUUUAGUAUCCCGUGACUAUCACUAAGUGUUGUAUUUUAUGAUUCAUGACGAAUGUAUUUUUUA